This 140-nucleotide ribosomal RNA is filed under the name uncultured bacterium. Its description in RNAcentral is "partial 16S ribosomal RNA". It matches the Rfam family "Bacterial small subunit ribosomal RNA", at positions 355 to 507 of the family's 1533-position model. The record is from RNAcentral.
UGGGGAAUAUUGCACAAUGGGCGCAAGCCUGAUGCAGCGACGCCGCGUGAGGGAUGACGGCCUUCGGGUUGUAAACCUCUUUCAGCAGGGACGAAGCGCAAGUGACGGUACCUGCAGAAGAAGCACCGGCUAACUACGUG